This 443-nucleotide RNase P RNA is filed under the name Nocardioidaceae bacterium. Its description in RNAcentral is "RNase P RNA component class A". It matches the Rfam family "Bacterial RNase P class A". From Rfam's summary of the family: Ribonuclease P (RNase P) is a ubiquitous endoribonuclease, found in archaea, bacteria and eukarya as well as chloroplasts and mitochondria. Its best characterised activity is the generation of mature 5'-ends of tRNAs by cleaving the 5'-leader elements of precursor-tRNAs. Cellular RNase Ps are ribonucleoproteins. Lineage: Bacteria; Bacillati; Actinomycetota; Actinomycetes; Propionibacteriales; Nocardioidaceae. The record is from RNAcentral.
CGAGCCGACCGGGCGGCCGCGGGAGGUUGUACGACGUACAGCCCUUGAGGAAGGUCCGGACUCCGCAGGGCAAGGUGGUGGGUAACGCCCAUCCGAGGUGACUCGCGGGACAGUGCCACAGAGACAGACCGCCAGCGGCUCCGACCUCGGUCGGGGUGCGGGUAAGGGUGAAACGGUGGUGUAAGAGACCACCAGCGCACCGGGUGACCGGGGCGGCUGGGUAAACCCCACCUGGAGCAAGACCAAGAAGGGCGCCGGAGCAAUGCCUCGGUGCCCGCGCAGACGCCGGUCGUCCUCGGAGGACCGAGAGGGUUGCCCGCCUGAGUCUGCGGGUCGGUCGCAUGAGCGCAUCGGUGACGAUGCGCGCAGAUGGAUGGCUGCUCAGGGCGGACUCCGCGAGGAUCCGCCCCCAACAGAAUCCGGCCUACGAGUCGGCUCGCCCG